This 257-nucleotide long non-coding RNA is filed under the name Nicotiana benthamiana. Its description in RNAcentral is "long non-coding RNA (NBEN_LNC001363)". Lineage: Eukaryota; Viridiplantae; Streptophyta; Magnoliopsida; Solanales; Solanaceae. The record is from RNAcentral.
GAGCAAGGUAGGAAGUUCUUGGAGGGAAGGAUGCCGGGGGUCUAUUUGGAAACAGCCUCUAUGCAUAUCAGUGAAUGUGAGGAUGGUGCCCUUCUUGUACUGCUUAUCUUUCAUAUCUCUGGUGUGAUCUUCUUUUCCUUUUUUCUACUUGGGGUAAUUUUAAAGUGGUAAAAGUGAAAGAAGGUUGUUGCAAGUCAAUCUUUUAUCCUUCUACAUUUAGUUUCAGUUGUGGAAAACCCUGUCAAUGUUUGUAGUUA